GCUAGCAUGGUAUAGUGGUUUGAGUAUUGGACUGUGACUCUGAAGACCAGGGUUCAAAUCUCAGCUUGGUCA
Phrynosoma platyrhinos (Desert horned lizard) is the source of this 72-nucleotide non-coding RNA. The record is from the annotation of a GenBank genome assembly. NCBI's taxonomy places the organism in Eukaryota, Metazoa, Chordata, Lepidosauria, Squamata, Phrynosomatidae.